UACGUAGGGUCCGAGCGUUGUCCGGAAUUAUUGGGCGUAAAGAGCUCGUAGGCGGUUUGUCGCGUCUGCUGUGAAAACUAGAGGCUCAACCUCUAGCCUGCAGUGGGUACGGGCAGACUUGAGUGGUGUAGGGGAGACUGGAAUUCCUGGUGUAGCGGUGGAAUGCGCAGAUAUCAGGAGGAACACCGAUGGCGAAGGCAGGUCUCUGGGCACUUACUGACGCUGAGGAG
This 230-nucleotide ribosomal RNA is filed under the name uncultured microorganism. Its description in RNAcentral is "partial 16S ribosomal RNA". It matches the Rfam family "Bacterial small subunit ribosomal RNA", at positions 524 to 753 of the family's 1533-position model. The record is from RNAcentral.